RNAcentral lists this small nuclear RNA (107 nucleotides) under Cervus hanglu yarkandensis (Yarkand deer). Lineage: Eukaryota; Metazoa; Chordata; Mammalia; Artiodactyla; Cervidae. The record is from RNAcentral.
GUGCUCGCUUCAGCAGCACAUACACUAAAAUUGGAACGAUACAGAGAAGAUUAACAUGGCCCCUGUGCAAGGAUGACACGCAAAUUCAUGAAGUGUUCCAUAUUUUU